UGGGGAAUUUUGGACAAUGGGCGCAAGCCUGAUCCAGCCAUGCCGCGUGAGUGAAGAAGGCCUUCGGGUUGUAAAGCUCUUUCGGACGGGAAGAAAUGGCGGGCUCUAACAUAGCCUGUCGAUGACGGUACCGUAAGAAGAAGCACCGGCUAACUACGUGCCAGCAGCCGCGGUAAUACGUAGGGGGCAAGCGUUGUCCGGAUUUACUGGGUGUAAAGGGCGCGCAGGCGGGAUAAAAAGUCAGUGGUGAAAUCCUACAGCUUAACUGUAGAACUGCCUUGGAUACUUUUAUUCUUGAGUUCGGGAGAGAGAGACGGAAUUCCAGGUGUAGUGGUGAAAUACGUAGAUAUCUGGAAGAACACCAGUUGCGAAGGCGGUCUCUUGGUCCGACACUGACGCUGAGGCGCGAAAGCGUG
This 416-nucleotide ribosomal RNA is filed under the name uncultured bacterium. Its description in RNAcentral is "bacterial SSU rRNA". It matches the Rfam family "Bacterial small subunit ribosomal RNA", at positions 355 to 763 of the family's 1533-position model. The record is from RNAcentral.